RNAcentral lists this small nuclear RNA (131 nucleotides) under Panthera leo (lion). RNAcentral describes it as "U4 spliceosomal RNA (ENSPLOG00000002501.1)". It matches the Rfam family "U4 spliceosomal RNA". Rfam says of the family: U4 small nuclear RNA (U4 snRNA) is a component of the major U2-dependent spliceosome. The structure of U4 snRNA from yeast and human has been reported. Lineage: Eukaryota; Metazoa; Chordata; Mammalia; Carnivora; Felidae. The record is from Rfam by way of RNAcentral.
AGCUUUGUGCAGUGGCAGUAUCGUAGCCAAUGAGGUUUAUCCGAGGCGCGAUUAUUGCUAAUUGAAAACUAAAAUAUUAUUACAUUCAAAAUAGACAUGAACUGAAUGUAAUUUAUGUAAUUUCAUGUAAU